Molecule: long non-coding RNA, 667 nt
Organism: Oncorhynchus masou masou (cherry salmon)
Lineage: Eukaryota; Metazoa; Chordata; Actinopteri; Salmoniformes; Salmonidae
Exons: 3
Source: RefSeq, a predicted model, not a curated record
UGUGUGCAUUAACUCAAUUUGCCUUUGGAUUCCUAAGCAAACGUUGUCCACUCUGUUCAUAACAGAUUGUAGUUUGAGGAACAGAAAACUGUAUUGAGAUAAAAUGUUUAAUGCAUGAGAAAAUUUGCCGAAUUUCGGCCAAACCCCAUAUCGUUCAAUCUUCUCCCACUCUGCCAGUGGGCUUUCCCCUCACUACCAUAUAUAUACAUCCAAUGAAAUAUCUGUCGCAUUGUUCUGUCUGUGAUGUCGCAUUUGCUCUGUUGCAGCGGUGGAACAGGACGUUCCGGGAAGGCGCCAGAACUGUGUGGUGGAGACGAUAUAUUUUGUGUCAGUUUCACAUGUAUUACUACAGGUCAAGUCUGAGGUCGGUAACAUCAACAGUGAGGACAAGCCCAGCCUGCCUCUCUCCUUCCACACUGAGUCCAAACCUACAGUCACUGGGUCCUGAUUGUGGCAGUGGAGCCCAGUUUGCACUGGAGGAUGCAGAGAUGACAUCAGUGAAGCUGGAAGACUGCAGUCAAACACUGGAGCUGAAUGUCAACAUUAAAGAUGAAAGAAGAGGAGGAGAAGAUUGGGAAAUCUGUUUAUGAUGGACCAUUCCAAAUGAUUGGAUGACAGAAACAUUGUUUCAUUAUCCAGUCUGUUGAUGUUGGGAGUUUGAGGGAGG